This 483-nucleotide ribosomal RNA is filed under the name uncultured bacterium. Its description in RNAcentral is "partial 16S ribosomal RNA". It matches the Rfam family "Bacterial small subunit ribosomal RNA", at positions 30 to 506 of the family's 1533-position model. The record is from RNAcentral.
AUUGAACGCUGGCGGCAGGCCUAACACAUGCAAGUCGAGCGGAUGAAGGGAGCUUGCUCCUGGAUUCAGCGGCGGACGGGUGAGUAAUGCCUAGGAAUCUGCCUGGUAGUGGGGGAUAACGUCCGGAAACGGGCGCUAAUACCGCAUACGUCCUGAGGGAGAAAGUGGGGGAUCUUCGGACCUCACGCUAUCAGAUGAGCCUAGGUCGGAUUAGCUAGUUGGUGGGGUAAAGGCCUACCAAGGCGACGAUCCGUAACUGGUCUGAGAGGAUGAUCAGUCACACUGGAACUGAGACACGGUCCAGACUCCGAGGGGAGGCAGCAGUGGGGAAUAUUGGACAAUGGGCGAAAGCCUGAUCCAGCCAUGCCGCGUGUGUGAAGAAGGUCUUCGGAUUGUAAAGCACUUUAAGUUGGGAGGAAGGGCAGUAAGUUAAUACCUUGCUGUUUUGACGUUACCAACAGAAUAAGCACCGGCUAACUUCGU